CUAACUUGGUAACAGAUUGCUGCCAGGGAGGAGUAAGAGAACAGGAGGAGAGAGGGGUGUGUUGUGGAAACUCACGUAUGCACUUGGGUUCUGCAGGCCUCAGAGACCCCUGGUUUAAAACCGUGGUGGAACUUAGUAUUGCAGAGGAUUUCUACAUUUCCCUUAGCCUGUCCUAUUUUGCAGCCCUUUUCCAUUGCAUUAGGUCACUUCUGGUUUGUGGCCCAGGGCCAGGGCAUCGUCUCUCAUUGGUAGAGGAGAGACCAGAGUAGCUACAGCCCUGACUCCCUUUCUUCUCUCCACAGUUCAGUGCAUUCAGAACAAGCCCCUGUAUUUUGCUGAUCGGCUGUAUGACUCCAUGAAGGGCAAGGGGACGCGAGAUAAGGUCCUGAUCAGAAUCAUGGUCUCCCGCAGUGAAGUGGACAUGUUGAAAAUUAGGUCUGAAUUCAAGAGAAAGUACGGCAAGUCCCUGUACUAUUAUAUCCAG
This 484-nucleotide small RNA is filed under the name Pan troglodytes (chimpanzee). Its description in RNAcentral is "retained intron". Lineage: Eukaryota; Metazoa; Chordata; Mammalia; Primates; Hominidae. The record is from RNAcentral.